AGCCACAUGGGAUGAGAACGGCCAGCCUUUACGGGUUGAGCAGCAGGCUCUAGAAACAGGGCACCCCGUUUAGCCUGCCGCUGAGCGAGAGGCUAGGGUCUAAUGCUUUUUAGUUUGAAGAAUUGACGGUAGCAGCAAAGCUCCCGGCUAAUUCGUGCAGCAGCCGCGUAUUACGGAGGGAUUAGCGUUUUUUCGGAUUACUGGGCGUAAGCGCGCGUAAGCGGAUAAUAAUUAAAGGUGAAAUCCCGGGGGCUUAACCCCGGAAAUGGCUUUAAUACUGGUAGUUUUGGGUUUCAGAGAGGUUGAGUGGAAUUUCCAGUGGAAAGGUUGAAAUUUCGUAAAAUAUUUCGGUGGAAACACCAGUGGCGAAAGCGGCUUCACUUGGCUCGAUACUGACGCUGAAGUGCGAAAGUGUGGGGAAGCAAACAGGAUAAGAUACCCUGGUAGUCCACACCGUAAACGAUGAAUGCCAGACGUC
This 478-nucleotide ribosomal RNA is filed under the name uncultured bacterium. Its description in RNAcentral is "bacterial SSU rRNA". It matches the Rfam family "Bacterial small subunit ribosomal RNA", at positions 306 to 824 of the family's 1533-position model. The record is from RNAcentral.